GAUGAACGCUGACAGAAUGCUUAACACAUGCAAGUCAACUUGACUUUGGGUUUUUAACUUAGGUUUGGGUGGCGGACGGGUGAGUAACGCGUAAAGAACUUGCCUCACAGCUAGGGACAACAUUUGGAAACGAAUGCUAAUACCUAAUAUUAUGAUAAUAGGGCAUCCUAUAAUUAUGAAAGCUAUAAGCGCUGUGAGAGAGCUUUGCGUCCCAUUAGCUAGUUGGAGAGGUAACGGCUCACCAAGGCGAUGAUGGGUAGCCGGCCUGAGAGGGUGAUCGGCCACAAGGGGACUGAGACACGGCCCUUACUCCUACGGGAGGCAGCAGUGGGGAAUAUUGGACAAUGGACCGAGAGUCUGAUCCAGCAAUUCUGUGUGCACGAUGAAGUUUUUAGGAAUGUAAAGUGGUUUCAGUUGGGAAGAAACAAAUGACGGUACCAACAGAAGAAGUGACGGCUAAAUACGUG
RNAcentral lists this ribosomal RNA (467 nucleotides) under uncultured bacterium. Its description in RNAcentral is "partial 16S ribosomal RNA". It matches the Rfam family "Bacterial small subunit ribosomal RNA", at positions 28 to 507 of the family's 1533-position model. The record is from RNAcentral.